AUACGUAGGUGGCAAGCGUUGUCCGGAUUUACUGGGUGUAAAGGGCGUGUAGGCGGAGAUGCAAGUCAGGAGUGAAAUCUAGGGGCUCAACCCCUAAACUGCUUUUGAAACUGUAUCCCUUGAGUAUCGGAGAGGCAGGCGGAAUUCCUAGUGUAGCGGUGAAAUGCGUGGAUAUUAGGAGGAACACCAGUGGCGAAGGCGGCCUGCUGGACGACAACUGGCGCUGGGGCGCGAAAGCGUGGGGAGCAAACAGGAUGAGAUUCCCUGGUAGUCCACGCUGUAAACGAUGAAUACUAGGUGUGGGGGGACUGACCCCCUCCGUGCCGCAGUUAACACAAUAAGUAUUCCACCGGGGGAGUACGAUCGCAAGAUUGAAACUCAAAUGAAUUGACGGGG
RNAcentral lists this ribosomal RNA (396 nucleotides) under uncultured bacterium. RNAcentral's name for it is "partial 16S ribosomal RNA". It matches the Rfam family "Bacterial small subunit ribosomal RNA", at positions 523 to 918 of the family's 1533-position model. The record is from RNAcentral.